This 464-nucleotide ribosomal RNA is filed under the name uncultured bacterium. RNAcentral describes it as "partial 16S ribosomal RNA". It matches the Rfam family "Bacterial small subunit ribosomal RNA", at positions 339 to 795 of the family's 1533-position model. The record is from RNAcentral.
CUACGGGAGGCACCAGUGGGGAAUAUUGCACAAUGGAGGAAACUCUGAUGCAGCCAUGCCGCGUGUGUGAAGAAGGCCCGAGGGUUGUAAAGCACUUUCAAUUGGGAGGAAGGUUAGUAAGUUAAUACCUUACUAGCUUGACGUUACCUUUAGAAGAAGCACCGGCUAACUCUGUGCCAGCAGCCGCGGUAAUACAGAGGGUGCAAGCGUUAUUCGGAAUUACUGGGCGUAAAGCGCGCGUAGGCGGACUGUUAAGUCGGUUGUGAAAGCCCUGGGCUCAACCUAGGAAUUGCAUCCGAUACUGGCAAUCUAGAGUUUAAGAGAGGGAAGGGGAAUUCCAGGUGUAGCAGUGAAAUGCGUAGAUAUCUGGAGGAACAUCAGUGGCGAAGGCGCCUUCCUGGCUUAAAACUGACGCUGAGGUGCGAAAGCGUGGGUAGCGAACGGGAUUAGAUACCCCCGUAGUC